UUUCCUACGGGAGGCAGCAGUGGGGAAUAUUUGGCAAUGGGGGAAACCCUGACCCAGCAACGCCGCGUGAAGGAUGAAGGCUUUCGGGUUGUAAACUUCUUUGAUCAGGGACGAAAAAUGACGGUACCUGAGGAACAAGCCACGGCUAACUACGUGCCAGCAGCCGCGGUAAUACGUAGGUGGCAAGCGUUAUCCGGAUUUACUGGGUGUAAAGGGCGUGUAGGCGGGUCUGCAAGUCGGAUGUGAAAUUCCCGGGCGUAACGCGGGCGGGUCAUCCGAAACUGCGGAUCUUGAGUACUGGAGAGGAUAGUGGAAUUCCUAGUGUAGCGGUAAAAUGCGUAGAUAUUAGGAGGAACACCAGUGGCGAAGGCGGCUAUCUGGACAGUAACUGACGCUGAGGCGCGAAAGCGUGGGGAGCAAACAGGAUUAGAUACCCGAGUAGUCA
This 445-nucleotide ribosomal RNA is filed under the name uncultured Clostridium sp. Its description in RNAcentral is "bacterial SSU rRNA". It matches the Rfam family "Bacterial small subunit ribosomal RNA", at positions 335 to 796 of the family's 1533-position model. Lineage: Bacteria; Bacillati; Bacillota; Clostridia; Eubacteriales; Clostridiaceae. The record is from RNAcentral.